Molecule: ribosomal RNA, 397 nt
Filed under: uncultured Limnohabitans sp.
Lineage: Bacteria; Pseudomonadati; Pseudomonadota; Betaproteobacteria; Burkholderiales; Comamonadaceae
Description: bacterial SSU rRNA
Rfam family: Bacterial small subunit ribosomal RNA
Source: RNAcentral
CAUGGAGUUUGAUCCUGGCUCAGAUUGAACGCUGGCGGAAUGCUUUACACAUGCAAGUCGAACGGUAGAGGGGGCAACCCCUUGAGAGUGGCGAACGGGUGAGUAAUAUAUCGGAACGUGCCCAGUCGUGGGGGAUAACGUAGCGAAAGUUACGCUAAUACCGCAUACGAUCUAAGGAUGAAAGCGGGGGAUCGCAAGACCUCGCGCGAUCGGAGCGGCCGAUAUCAGAUUAGGUAGUUGGUGGGGUAAAGGCUCACCAAGCCAACGAUCUGUAGCUGGUCUGAGAGGACGACCAGCCACACUGGAACUGAGACACGGUCCAGACUCCUACGGGAGGCAGCAGUGGGGAAUUUUGGACAAUGGACGAAGUCUGAUCCAGCCCAUUCCGCGUGCAGGA